RNAcentral lists this long non-coding RNA (216 nucleotides) under Neodiprion pinetum (white pine sawfly). RNAcentral describes it as "uncharacterized LOC124216715". The record is from RNAcentral. Lineage: Eukaryota; Metazoa; Arthropoda; Insecta; Hymenoptera; Diprionidae.
GCACAGUCGUGAACACCAAGCAACAGCGAGUAAUCCAUCAGAUUUAAGUGUGUCAAAAACUGUAUGCAAAUGGAAUAACGUUUAUGGAACGCUUUGGACUUUUAUUAUUGAAAGAUACUAUAUGGCCCUUCGUAGUUACAACCUCCACCACUUAUUGUUAGUCCUGCGAGAACUACAGAAGUUGGGCACAAUUUUUGUAGCUCUUGAACGCCUUUG